AUACAGUACUAGCCCCUCCCUCUCUCUGUCUCCUCCUCCAUACAGUACUAGCCCCUCCCUCUCUCUGACCCCUCCUCCUCCAUACAGUACUAGCCCCUCCCUCUCUCUGUCUCCUCCACCAUACAGUACUAUCUCCUCCACCAUACAGUACUAGCCCCUCCCUCUCUCUGUCUCUUCCUCCACCAUACAGUACUAUCCCCUCUCUCUGACCCCUCCUCCAUACAGUACUAUCCCCUCUCUCUGACCCCUCCAUACAGUAUUAGCCCCUCCCUCUCUCUGACCCCUCCUCCUCCAUACAGCACUAGCCCCUCCCUCUGUGACCCCUCCUCCUCCAUACAGUACUAGCCCUUCCCUCUCUCUGACCAUCCUCCUCCAUACAGUACUAGCCCCUCCCUCUCUGACCCCUCCUCCUCCAUACAGUACUAUCCCCUCCACCAUACAGUACUAUCCCCUCUGUCUGACCCCUCCUCCUCCUCCAUACAGUACUAUGCUCUUUUGCUGACCAAGGAUUUGUUAGAUAAGAUAACAUUUUUAUAGUUUGUAUUAUUUAGUCUCUUGUCUGUUCUGCCUUGCACCGCUCUGUGUAAACUAAAGGGAGGUACUUGCGUGCCUUGGGUUGCUUUAUGUUGUUGUCACGACUACGGCUUCUCUCUCAGAGAUGGAACCUUAUGGUUUAGACCACUCCUUGUUGGAAGUAGACCUGUGGUUAUUACCAAGGCUCUGCGUUUAUACCACCUUUCCACCUGUUUGUUAGAUGUCGUUCCAUGUAAUGGUAACGGUAUCUUUGUUAUUGUGAUGUAUUGUUAGCCAGGGCAGAACAGGCCAAAUUUAGCCUCUUAUUUAAACUAACUUAUCAAUUCCAUGAUGAUGAAAACAUGUUGCUGUUUUCUUCGUCAUUAUGAAUAUGCAGAUAUAUGACAGGAACAUGCAUGGGGGUUGUUAACGCUAACGAGAAUCGAUGUCCCUUCCUCUUCACUGAGCUACGACUUGUUUUUCUAAAAACGAGGCCGCUUCCUGAAAGGCACUCUCUCUUCCUUAUAACGGAGAAUUCAUUUUGACUGGGUGCCAUAGGAUUCCCACAGGGCUCUGGUCGACAGGAGAGUGCACUAUGUAGGGAAUAGGGUGCCAUUUGGGACAGUCCCCUGAGCUGCCUCAGUCUCUGGCAAUUGGAGCUUGGCGUCUCUCACUAUUAAUAUACACACACACUAUUUUUUUU
This is a non-coding RNA of Oncorhynchus mykiss (rainbow trout), 1216 nucleotides long. The record is from RefSeq and is a predicted model, not a curated record. Lineage: Eukaryota; Metazoa; Chordata; Actinopteri; Salmoniformes; Salmonidae.